RNAcentral lists this ribosomal RNA (253 nucleotides) under uncultured bacterium. RNAcentral describes it as "partial 16S ribosomal RNA". It matches the Rfam family "Bacterial small subunit ribosomal RNA", at positions 524 to 776 of the family's 1533-position model. The record is from RNAcentral.
UACGGGGGGGGCAAGCGUUGUUCGGAAUUACUGGGCGUAAAGGGUUCGUAGGUGGCCAACUAAGUCAGACGUGAAAUCCCUCAGCUUAACUGGGGAACUGCGUCUGAGACUGGAUGGCUUGAGUGCAGGAGAGGAACGCGGAAUUCCAGGUGUAGCGGUGAAAUGCGUUGAUAUCGGAAGGAACGCCGGUGGCGAAAGCGCGCGACUGGACCUCUUCUGACGCUGAGGCGCGAAAGCCAGGGGAGCGAACGGG